GACGAACGCUGGCGGCGUGCUUAACACAUGCAAGUCGAACGGUGAAGCGAGUGCUUGCACUCGUGGAUCAGUGGCGAACGGGUGAGUAACACGUGAGUAACCUGCCCAUCACUCUGGGAUAAGCACUGGAAACGGUGUCUAAUACUGGAUACGACCAUCCCUUGCAUGGGGUGUUGGUGGAAAGAUUUAUCGGGGAUGGAUGGACUCGCGGCUUAUCAGCUUGUUGGCUGGUUAGUGGCCUACCAAGGCGACGACGGGUAGCCGGCCUGAGAGGGUGACCGGCCACACUGGGACUGAGACACGGCCCAGACUCCUAUGGGAGGCAGAAGUGGGGAAUAUUGCACAAUGGGCGAAAGCCUGAUGCAGCGACGCCGCGUGAGGGAUGACGGCCUUCGGGUUGUAAACAUCUUUCAGCAGGGAAGAAGCGAAAGUGACGGUACCUGCAGAAGAAGCACCGGCUAACUACGUG
RNAcentral lists this ribosomal RNA (469 nucleotides) under uncultured bacterium. RNAcentral describes it as "partial 16S ribosomal RNA". It matches the Rfam family "Bacterial small subunit ribosomal RNA", at positions 28 to 507 of the family's 1533-position model. The record is from RNAcentral.